Molecule: non-coding RNA, 124 nt
Organism: Picea glauca (white spruce)
Lineage: Eukaryota; Viridiplantae; Streptophyta; Pinopsida; Pinales; Pinaceae
Source: Rfam
UCAUAUGCACAUGCCUACAAUGUUAAUGCACUAGAUCCUAAUAAAGCUUUGCAAUUAAGCGCACUUGGGAUAGAGUAGCACUGGUAUGGGGGACCUCCCAAGAAGUCCUAGUGUUUUACAUGCC